This 509-nucleotide ribosomal RNA is filed under the name uncultured bacterium. Its description in RNAcentral is "bacterial SSU rRNA". It matches the Rfam family "Bacterial small subunit ribosomal RNA", at positions 417 to 920 of the family's 1533-position model. The record is from RNAcentral.
UACGGGUUGUAAAGCACUUUAAGCGAGGAGAAGGUCAUCAUACUAAUAUUAUGAUGAAUUGACGUUACUCGCAGAUAAGCACCGGCUAACUCUGUGCCAGCAGCCGCGGUAAUACAGAGGGUGCAAGCGUUAAUCGGAAUUACUGGGCGUAAAGCGCGCGUAGGCGGUUUGUUAAGUCGGAUGUGAAAUCCCUGGGCUCAACCUAGGCACUGCAUCCGAUACUGGCUGACUAGAGUGUGGGAGAGGAAGGUAGAAUUCCAGUUGUAGCGGUGAAAUGCGUAGAGAUCUGGAGGAAUACCGAUGGCGAAGGCAGCCUUCUGGCCUAACACUGACGCUGAGGUGCGAAAGCAUGGGGAGCAAACAGGAUUAGAUACCCUGGUAGUCCAUGCUGUAAACGAUGUCAACUAGCCGUUGGGGUCUUUAAGACUUUAGUGGCGUAGCUAACGCGAUAAGUUGACCGCCUGGGGAGUACGGUCGCAAGACUAAAACUCAAAUGAAUUGACGGGGGC